RNAcentral lists this ribosomal RNA (1256 nucleotides) under Serratia nematodiphila. Its description in RNAcentral is "bacterial SSU rRNA". It matches the Rfam family "Bacterial small subunit ribosomal RNA", at positions 36 to 1276 of the family's 1533-position model. The record is from RNAcentral. Lineage: Bacteria; Pseudomonadati; Pseudomonadota; Gammaproteobacteria; Enterobacterales; Yersiniaceae.
CAGGGGCGGCAGGCUUACACAUGCAGUCGAGCGGUAGCACAGGGGAGCUUGCUCCCCGGGUGACGAGCGGCGGACGGGUGAGUAAUGUCUGGGAAACUGCCUGAUGGAGGGGGAUAACUACUGGAAACGGUAGCUAAUACCGCAUAACGUCGCAAGACCAAAGAGGGGGACCUUCGGGCCUCUUGCCAUCAGAUGUGCCCAGAUGGGAUUAGCUAGUAGGUGGGGUAAUGGCUCACCUAGGCGACGAUCCCUAGCUGGUCUGAGAGGAUGACCAGCCACACUGGAACUGAGACACGGUCCAGACUCCUACGGGAGGCAGCAGUGGGGAAUAUUGCACAAUGGGCGCAAGCCUGAUGCAGCCAUGCCGCGUGUGUGAAGAAGGCCUUCGGGUUGUAAAGCACUUUCAGCGAGGAGGAAGGUGGUGAGCUUAAUACGCUCAUCAAUUGACGUUACUCGCAGAAGAAGCACCGGCUAACUCCGUGCCAGCAGCCGCGGUAAUACGGAGGGUGCAAGCGUUAAUCGGAAUUACUGGGCGUAAAGCGCACGCAGGCGGUUUGUUAAGUCAGAUGUGAAAUCCCCGGGCUCAACCUGGGAACUGCAUUUGAAACUGGCAAGCUAGAGUCUCGUAGAGGGGGGUAGAAUUCCAGGUGUAGCGGUGAAAUGCGUAGAGAUCUGGAGGAAUACCGGUGGCGAAGGCGGCCCCCUGGACGAAGACUGACGCUCAGGUGCGAAAGCGUGGGGAGCAAACAGGAUUAGAUACCCUGGUAGUCCACGCUGUAAACGAUGUCGAUUUGGAGGUUGUGCCCUUGAGGCGUGGCUUCCGGAGCUAACGCGUUAAAUCGACCGCCUGGGGAGUACGGCCGCAAGGUUAAAACUCAAAUGAAUUGACGGGGGCCCGCACAAGCGGUGGAGCAUGUGGUUUAAUUCGAUGCAACGCGAAGAACCUUACCUACUCUUGACAUCCAGAGAACUUAGCAGAGAUGCUUUGGUGCCUUCGGGAACUCUGAGACAGGUGCUGCAUGGCUGUCGUCAGCUCGUGUUGUGAAAUGUUGGGUUAAGUCCCGCACGAGCGCAACCCUUAUCCUUUGUUGCCAGCGGUCGGCCGGGACUCAAAGAGACUGCCCAGUGAUAAACUGAGAAGGUGGGGAUGACGUCAGUCAUCAUGGCCUUACGAGUAGGGCUAACAACGUGCUUACAUUGGCCGUAAUACAAGAGAAGCGGACCCUCCGCCGGAAGAGAACAGAGCGCGAAACUCA